This is a long non-coding RNA of Panicum hallii, 430 nucleotides long. RefSeq lists it as uncharacterized. Lineage: Eukaryota; Viridiplantae; Streptophyta; Magnoliopsida; Poales; Poaceae. The transcript is spliced from 3 exons. The record is from RefSeq and is a predicted model, not a curated record.
CUUUUACUUUUGUGAGCUGUUACUGAUGUGGGCUGCCUUUGCAUGAAAAUGCUUCCUGUGAUCCACAAUCGGCUCAAUGAUGGCCUUCACGUCCUCCUCAAUUUCAUCCAUCUGCAUGAAGUCAGCAAGUCUUGUGCCGAGGCAACAAGCAACAACACAAAGGGGGUUGCCUGAGAUUGCAAGCAAACAUGGGAGCACCAAACUAUAAGGAAUGAUAAAAGGCAGAACACGAUUCAGGCACUGCCAUGUACUGUACCUUGUGGAUGAUGUCCUGUGCAAGGAUCGACGCCCAUCGCGAGUGCAGGAGUGGCGUAGCGGCUGCAAGGACUGAGCCAAUUGCCAAUCUCGCCCUGAUACAACACAGCAGGAGAAAACGAAGGCAGGAUCAUAUCAGCAUCUGCAUCGAGAUUAUUCUUUCAGACACUGAUCA